RNAcentral lists this transfer RNA (73 nucleotides) under Ixodes scapularis (black-legged tick). It matches the Rfam family "tRNA". Rfam says of the family: Transfer RNA (tRNA) molecules are approximately 80 nucleotides in length. Their secondary structure includes four short double-helical elements and three loops (D, anti-codon, and T loops). The record is from Rfam by way of RNAcentral. Lineage: Eukaryota; Metazoa; Arthropoda; Arachnida; Ixodida; Ixodidae.
UCCUGGUUAGUUCAGUUGGUAGAGCGUUCCACUGAAAAUGGAGAGGUACAUGGUUCAAUCCCAGGACCAGGCG